This 610-nucleotide ribosomal RNA is filed under the name Methanomethylovorans sp. enrichment culture clone A1-26. Its description in RNAcentral is "bacterial SSU rRNA". It matches the Rfam family "Archaeal small subunit ribosomal RNA", at positions 249 to 859 of the family's 1478-position model. Lineage: Archaea; Methanobacteriati; Methanobacteriota; Methanomicrobia; Methanosarcinales; Methanosarcinaceae. The record is from RNAcentral.
CCUACUAGCCAGCGACGGGUACGGGUUGUGAGAGCAAGAGCCCGGAGAUGGAUUCUGAGACAUGAAUCCAGGCCCUACGGGGCGCAGCAGGCGCGAAAACUUUACAAUGCGGGGAACCGCGAUAGGGGGACACCGAGUGCCAGCAUCCUAUGUUGGCUGUCCAUAUGUCUAAAUCACAUGUGUUAGCAAGGGCCGGGCAAGACCGGUGCCAGCCGCCGCGGUAACACCGGCGGCCCGAGUGGUGGCCACUAUUAUUGGGUCUAAAGGGUCCGUAGCCGGUUUGGUCAGUCUUCCGGGAAAUCUGACGGCUCAACCGUUAGGCUUUCGGGGGAUACUACCAGGCUUGGGACCGGGAGAGGUAAGAGGUACUACGGGGGUAGGAGUGAAAUCUUGUAAUCCCUGUGGGACCACCAGUGGCGAAGGCGUCUUACCAGAACGGGUCCGACGGUGAGGGACGAAAGCUGGGGGCACGAACCGGAUUAGAUACCCGGGUAGUCCCAGCUGUAAACUAUGCUCGCUAGGUGUCAGGGACGGUGCGACCGUUUCUGGUGCCGCAGGGAAGCCGUGAAGCGAGCCACCUGGGAAGUACGGUCGCAAGGCUGAAACUUAA